This 74-nucleotide transfer RNA is filed under the name Gemmatimonadaceae bacterium. RNAcentral describes it as "tRNA-Lys". It matches the Rfam family "tRNA". Rfam says of the family: Transfer RNA (tRNA) molecules are approximately 80 nucleotides in length. Their secondary structure includes four short double-helical elements and three loops (D, anti-codon, and T loops). The record is from RNAcentral. Lineage: Bacteria; Pseudomonadati; Gemmatimonadota; Gemmatimonadia; Gemmatimonadales; Gemmatimonadaceae. RNAcentral also lists the same sequence under 2 other names.
GACCCGAUAGCUCAGCUGGUUAGAGCAACGGACUUUUAAUCCGUAGGUCCUGGGUUCGAUCCCCAGUCGGGUCA